This 237-nucleotide ribosomal RNA is filed under the name uncultured bacterium. RNAcentral's name for it is "partial 16S ribosomal RNA". It matches the Rfam family "Bacterial small subunit ribosomal RNA", at positions 99 to 334 of the family's 1533-position model. The record is from RNAcentral.
CGGACGGGUGAGUAACACGUAGACAACGUACCCCUCCACUGGGGAUAGCCACUGGAAACGGUGGGUAAUACCGAAUAGAGUCUUGACAGGGCAUCCUGUCGAGAGGAAAGUCGUAAGGCGUGGAGGGAGCGGUUUGCGUCCUAUCAGCUAGUUGGUGGGGUAAUGGCCCACCAAGGCGACGACGGGUAGCCGGUCUGAGAGGAUGGUCGGCCACACUGGCACUGAGAUACGGGCCAG